RNAcentral lists this ribosomal RNA (274 nucleotides) under uncultured bacterium. RNAcentral describes it as "partial 16S ribosomal RNA". It matches the Rfam family "Bacterial small subunit ribosomal RNA", at positions 523 to 796 of the family's 1533-position model. The record is from RNAcentral.
AUACAGAGGGUGCGAGCGUUAAUCGGAAUUACUGGGCGUAAAGCGCGCGUAGGCGGCUUGGUCAGUCGGAUGUGAAAGCCCUGGGCUUAACCUGGGAAUUGCAUUCGAUACUGCCAGGCUAGAAUGUAGUAGAGGGAAGUGGAAUUCCGGGUGUAGCGGUGAAAUGCGUAGAUAUCCGGAGGAACAUCAGUGGCGAAGGCGACUUCCUGGACUAACAUUGACGCUGAGGUGCGAAAGCGUGGGGAGCAAACAGGAUUAGAAACCCCUGUAGUCC